Molecule: ribosomal RNA, 211 nt
Filed under: Nocardioides szechwanensis
Lineage: Bacteria; Bacillati; Actinomycetota; Actinomycetes; Propionibacteriales; Nocardioidaceae
Description: partial 16S rRNA. Bacterial SSU
Rfam family: Bacterial small subunit ribosomal RNA
Source: RNAcentral
UUUCUACGGAGAGUUUGAUCCUGGCUCAGGACGAACGCUGGCGGCGUGCUUAACACAUGCAAGUCGAGCGGUAAGGCCCUUUCGGGGGUACACGAGCGGCGAACGGGUGAGUAACACGUGAGUAAUCUGCCCUCCACUUGGGGAUAAGCUUCGGAAACGGGGUCUAAUACCUGAUACGACACUCUCCUGCAUGGGAUGGGUGUGGAAAGUU